AGGUUCUGAAAAGAUUAAAAGGGAAUCCUGUGAGAAUCAGGAGCUAUUCCCGUAGCUGUCAGUUCUUUACAACUUUCCGGCACCAUGUCACUGACGAUAGAAAAAUUGUUGGGAAGACGCUGGAAAGCAGGACAAGCCAGAAGACCUGCCUGCAUC
Molecule: non-coding RNA, 156 nt
Filed under: bovine gut metagenome
Source: RNAcentral